Long non-coding RNA from Cydia fagiglandana, 352 nucleotides. RefSeq lists it as uncharacterized. Lineage: Eukaryota; Metazoa; Arthropoda; Insecta; Lepidoptera; Tortricidae. The transcript has 2 exons. The record is from RefSeq and is a predicted model, not a curated record.
UUACGAUACAACUUCGAAAAAUAGGAAAUUCGUAACGAGUGGCGAUAAAUUAAAACACAACCGAAGAGAGUUGUUUUAAAUCCACACGAUUUGCAAAUUACCUAUUCGCACGUGUAUCGUACAACGUUUUACAGUACAUGGCCCUUUAAGCUUUUGACAUACGCACGAAAAGUGCUAUUUUACGCACUAGUGCGGGAAAAUAGGACCAUAAUUAUAUACUUUAAAUGAUAUUUUUAUUAUUAAUUUGUAUAAAUGAAUGUCAUUAGUCAUUGCCUACAUUAAAUGUACUUAAUCUAUGCUUCCAUAAAUAUAUUUACUAUCAUUAUCAAUAUAUUACAAGACGUUGCACAUA